AUGCAAGUCGAACGAUGAAGCCCUUCGGGGUGGAUUAGUGGCGAACGGGUGAGUAACACGUGGGCAAUCUGCCCUGCACUCUGGGACAAGCCCUGGAAACGGGGUCUAAUACCGGAUAUCACUCUUGCAGGCAUCUGUGAGGGUCGAAAGCUCCGGCGGUGCAGGAUGAGCCCGCGGCCUAUCAGCUUGUUGGUGAGGUAAUGGCUCACCAAGGCGACGACGGGUAGCCGGCCUGAGAGGGCGACCGGCCACACUGGGACUGAGACACGGCCCAGACUCCUACGGGAGGCAGCAGUGGGGAAUAUUGCACAAUGGGCGAAAGCCUGAUGCAGCGACGCCGCGUGAGGGAUGACGGCCUUCGGGUUGUAAACCUCUUUCAGCAGGGAAGAAGCGAAAGUGACGGUACCUGCAGAAGAAGCGCCGGCUAACUACGUGCCAGCAGCCGCGGUAAUACGUAGGGCGCAAGCGUUGUCCGGAAUUAUUGGGCGUAAAGAGCUCGUAGGCGGCUUGUCACGUCGGGUGUGAAAGCCCGGGGCUUAACCCCGGGUCUGCAUUCGAUACGGGCUAGCUAGAGUGUGGUAGGGGAGAUCGGAAUUCCUGGUGUAGCGGUGAAAUGCGCAGAUAUCAGGAGGAACACCGGUGGCGAAGGCGGAUCUCUGGGCCAUUACUGACGCUGAGGAGCGAAAGCGUGGGGAGCGAACAGGAUUAGAUACCCUGGUAGUCCACGCCGUAAACGGUGGGAACUAGGUGUUGGCGACAUUCCACGUCGUCGGUGCC
This 777-nucleotide ribosomal RNA is filed under the name Streptomyces sp. RNAcentral's name for it is "bacterial SSU rRNA". It matches the Rfam family "Bacterial small subunit ribosomal RNA", at positions 55 to 847 of the family's 1533-position model. The record is from RNAcentral. Lineage: Bacteria; Bacillati; Actinomycetota; Actinomycetes; Kitasatosporales; Streptomycetaceae.